GGGGCCGUAAUUUGGUUUCGACAGAGUAUUGAUUUGGCUUAACUGCAAGUAGAAGUUCAUCUUUAACGAACAAAAAUAAAUUAAAUGACAAAAAAACAAGCGCAUUUGGCGCUCCUGCACUAGCUUUUGCCUAAGAUAGGUAUUGGUGCAUUCCAUGCUGAGUUAACUUAGGACUCAAUAUUGGGAUUCAUAUUACUAAGUUAUAUCUAUAUAUUAGUCUAGAAUAUAUAGAUGAAUUUAAUUAGACUUACUUGUUAGAGGGUUGUUGGUGCCUUGUUCUAGCAAGGAAAAUAAAACACUAACUAAACUUGUAGAUGUUAUUCUGAAUGUGCUUUGGACAGCGGUUCGAGUCCGCUCGGUUCCACCA
Molecule: transfer-messenger RNA, 367 nt
Filed under: Bacilli
Lineage: Bacteria; Bacillati; Bacillota
Also listed under: 1 other name
Description: RUG11867 sp902773365 Standard tmRNA
Rfam family: transfer-messenger RNA
About the family: Bacterial tmRNA, also known as 10Sa RNA or SsrA, is named for its dual tRNA and mRNA-like properties. Its role is to liberate the mRNA from a stalled ribosome.
Source: RNAcentral